GAAGGUCCAUGGCUCAGUGAUAGAGCAUACGCUUUUCAUGUCAAAGGUUCCGGGUUCCAUCCCUGGUGUUUUUA
Podarcis lilfordi (Lilford's wall lizard) is the source of this 74-nucleotide non-coding RNA. The record is from the annotation of a GenBank genome assembly. Lineage: Eukaryota; Metazoa; Chordata; Lepidosauria; Squamata; Lacertidae.